UACGUAGGCAGCGAGCGUUGUUCGGAGUUACUGGGCGUAAAGGGUGUGUAGGCGGUUUUCUAAGUUUGGUGUGAAAUCUCCCGGCUUAACCGGGAGGGUGCGCCGAAAACUGGGAGACUAGAGUGCGGGAUGGGAGAGUAGAAUUCCUGGUGUAGCGGUGAAAUGCGUAGAUAUCAGGAGGAAUACCGGUGGCGCAGACGGCUCUCUGGACCGCAACUGACGCUGAGACACGAAAGCGUGGGUAGCAAACAGG
RNAcentral lists this ribosomal RNA (253 nucleotides) under uncultured bacterium. RNAcentral's name for it is "partial 16S ribosomal RNA". It matches the Rfam family "Bacterial small subunit ribosomal RNA", at positions 524 to 776 of the family's 1533-position model. The record is from RNAcentral.